This 683-nucleotide long non-coding RNA is filed under the name Cricetulus griseus (Chinese hamster). Its description in RNAcentral is "lncRNA (ENSCGRG00000026177.1)". Lineage: Eukaryota; Metazoa; Chordata; Mammalia; Rodentia; Cricetidae. The record is from RNAcentral.
GAGAUAAUGAAGCAGAACAGUUACUGAAAGCCAUCUGCUCGGUUGUUUACAAACUUGCUUCAAUACUUCAGAGGCAGUGGUAGGGUACGUGUCUAAACUUCACAAGCUGCACUAGGUAGAACUAAAUGAAGUGCGCCUGGGCUGGGCUGAGCUCGCUCCCUCUCUGUGCAGCGUGAGCGGUUGCCAGGCAGGCCUGUUGGAAGCCAGCAGAAAGCACCACACAGAGGUGAUUAUGUGCCACCAUCUGUCACGCUUCAAGCCUACCAUACAGCAUGGCUAAUCAGCCUUGGCAGGAUGAUGGAUGAACAGCAGCAGCUGCCAAAAGCCACUGUUGGCAAACAGCACUGAAGUUAAGAACUUUUUCCCCCCUCUGUCUUCCUCUCCAGGGUCCUGCUGCGUGUCCGCAUGCUGUACUACCUAAGACAAGAAGUGAUAGGCGACCAAGCAGAUAAGAUCCUCGAGGGUGCGGACUCAAGUGAAGCAGACGUGUGGAUCCCCGAGCCUUUCCAUGCAGAAGUUCCUGCAGAUUGGUGGGAUAGAGAAGCAGAUAAAUCCCUCUUAAUUGGAGUAUUCAAACAUGGUAAGGGGUGUUUCUGUUUAACUGCAUCUUGACUGUGUGGCUUCAUCUUUAUUUAGAACUCUUUGCAUACUCUUUUCCAAAGUCAUAAUAUUAAUGAGGUUCG